GGGGCAAGCGUUGUUCGGAAUUACUGGGCGUAAAGGGCUCGUAGGUGGCCAACUAAGUCAGACGUGAAAUCCCUCGGCUUAACCGGGGAACUGCGUCUGAUACUGGAUGGCUUGAGAUUGGGAGAGGGAUGCGGAAUUCCAGGUGUAGCGGUGAAAUGCGUAGAUAUCUGGAGGAACACCGGUGGCGAAGGCGGCAUCCUGGACCAACACUGACACUGAGGAGCGAAAGCCAGGGGAGCAAACGGG
Molecule: ribosomal RNA, 246 nt
Filed under: uncultured bacterium
Lineage: Bacteria
Description: partial 16S ribosomal RNA
Rfam family: Bacterial small subunit ribosomal RNA
Source: RNAcentral